Molecule: ribosomal RNA, 961 nt
Filed under: Blastocystis sp.
Lineage: Eukaryota; Bigyra; Opalinata; Blastocystidae
Description: SSU rRNA
Rfam family: Eukaryotic small subunit ribosomal RNA
Source: RNAcentral
AUUGAGAACAAUGUACAAUCGUUAUCGAUAAACAAUUGGAGGGCAAGUCUGGUGCCAGCAGCCGCGGUAAUUCCAGCUCCAAUAGCGUAUAUUAACGUUGUUGCAGUUAAAAAGCUCGUAGUUGAAGUUUAGAUAAUUUAUUGAAAGUGUUUGUAUUCGUACAUUCUACUUUUAUGUAAGUUAUCGACAUCCAGGUGGGUGCCAUGGUUCCGCAAGGAAUUGUGGUACUAGACUGGUCAUUUACUGUGAGAAAAUUAGAGUGUUUAAAGCAGACUUUUAUUCAAGUUGAAUAAAUUAACCUGGAAUAAUAAGAAUGGCUUUCAUAAACGAAUUUUUGGGUUGGUUAUGAAAGCAAGAAUAAUAAGGAAAGUUGGGGGUAAUCAUAAUUAAUAACUAGAGGGGAAAUUCCAUGAAUUAUGGAAGAAGAACUAAUGGGAAAGCAAUUACCAAGGAAGGUUUCAUUAAUCAAUAACGAAAGCUAGGGGAACAAAGAAGAAUAAAUACCCUCCGAAUCUUAACUAUAAACGAAACCCACUAAGAAGUAGUAAAUGAACCAAUGGGGGCUAUUAAUAACUUAAGAAAAAACAAAGUCCUUGGGUUCCGGGGGGAAGAAGGGCGGCAGGGUGAAACUUAAAGGAAAUGAAUGAAGGGCACCACCAGGAGUGGAAGCUGCCGGCUAAUUUGACUCAACACGGGGAAACUUACCAGGUCCAGACAUAGGGAGGAAUGACCGAAUGAUAGCUCCUUCUUGAUUCUAUGGGUGGUGGUGCAGGACGUUCUUAGUUGAUGAAUGAUUUGUCUGGAUUAUUCCGACAACGACGAUACUUCCGCCUACUAGUAGGACGAAAUGGGAUUUUUAGUCCCCUUGUUAUUUCUUCUCCUAAAAAGGGGACAAUUGUGUUUAGUAUAUAGGAUAAUGCUGUAAAUAAUAAGGGGUGUUGAUGCCCUCAAUAGCUCUUCC